GUAUGAUGCCUGUUACUAGCAUUCACAUGGAACAAAUUGCUGCCGUGGGAGGAUGACAAAGAAGCAUGAGUCACCCUGCUGGAUAAACUUAGACUUCAGGCUUUAUCAUUUUUCAAUCUGUUAAUCAUAAUCUGGUCACUGGGAUGUUCAACCUUAAACUAAGUUUUGAAAGUAAGGUUAUUUAAAAGAUUUAUCAGUAGUAUCCUAAAUGCAAACAUUUUCAUUUAAAUGUCAAGCCCAUGUUUGUUUUUAUCAUUAACAGAAAAUAUAUUCAUGUCAUUCUUAAUUGCAGG
Molecule: long non-coding RNA, 293 nt
Filed under: Homo sapiens (human)
Lineage: Eukaryota; Metazoa; Chordata; Mammalia; Primates; Hominidae
Description: HSALNT0403511
Source: RNAcentral